This is a long non-coding RNA of Marmota monax (woodchuck), 1571 nucleotides long. RefSeq lists it as uncharacterized. NCBI's taxonomy places the organism in Eukaryota, Metazoa, Chordata, Mammalia, Rodentia, Sciuridae. The transcript is spliced from 4 exons. The record is from RefSeq and is a predicted model, not a curated record.
CGAAAGGAGGAAGGAGGGGAAGGAGGAGAGAAAGAGGGCGCUCCAGAAGGAGUCCUUCGCGUGCGGACGGCAGGAGGAUUAAAAGGAGGGACGAGGGAGAACCGGAGAGGAAAGGAGAGGGCAGACCUGGGAAGGCAGGUCCCGCCGCGACCAGUUACAUGGAAAACUUCUUUGUUGAACACCAUGUACCAAAGUACAGAGUGAGCUUUGGCUUGUCCUUUGGGGUGUCAUUCCAGGCAAGUUUCAUCACCACCCUCUCCAAGUGAGUCUGGAACUCUGGUCCUCUCUCUUCCCCUUUGCAGACGUCAAGCAUGACAAGCCCUGGAAAGUCUAUCCAGGUUGUAAGGAUGACUGCUAUGGUUCAUUUGGACAGAGUACCCUGAAUGGAGCACUUUAAGACUUGCAUCAUUUAAGCCUCACAGAGGCCUUGUGAGGGCUGAGAAUGUGGUACAAUGGUAAAGUACCCUUGGGUCAAAUCCCCAGUAACAAAAAGAAAAAUAAAGUGAAGGACAACAGAAGCACUUCAAUUGAUUAUGCAUUAUUUAACCUUGAGGUUAUGGUUUAGAUGUGGUGUCUCCCAAAAGCUCACAUGUAAGACAAUGCAAGAAGGUUCCAUGGAAAAAUGAUUGGGUUGUAAGAGUCUUAACCCAAUCAGUGAAUCAAUCCCCUGAUAAGGAUUAACUGAGUGGUAACUGAAGUAGUAGGGUGUGGCAGGAGGCCUUGGGAAUUGGGGCAUGGCUUGGGGGUAUAUAUUUGUAUCUAGCAAGUGGAGACCUCUCUCUGAUCAUCAUGUGUGCUGCUUCCCUCCACCACACUCUUCUACCAUGAUGUUUUGCCUCACCUCGAGCCCUAAGGAAUGGAGUCUGCUGUCUAUGGAUUGAAACCUCUUAAUCAUGAACCCUCAAAUAAACUUUUUUCUCCUCUAGGUUGUUCUGAUCGGAUCCUUAGUCACAGCAGCAAAAUAGCUGACUAAUAUACUUGGUUUUAAAGUACUUGAGUUGAAUACAGUGGAGUAAGUAUGUGCUUUUGCAAAUACAAACUUGAUGAAAACUAAAUCUGAUAAACAGAAAAAGAAGAGAAAAAGAAACACAUAAAAAUGCACACACAAAAACUAAAGCUGGAUAAAACUUUUUUAAUUUUUAAAAAUCAGUCAUUGAGCUAGCAAGAAAGCAAGAAAAUUACAGACCAAAAACAAAACUAAGGUGGAACUCCUAGAUUAUGAAUAAGCUCCUAAAACAUCUUUCAAACAACUGUGUCCUUGAGUGUUCACUUUGACCAGUGUGCAGGAUCUAGAAACAUAAGAUAUAUCCUCAGGCAUCUCUCAGAUCAGAAGAAUAACAACUUUCCCGUAAAACUGGUACUCUAAAGGGCCAAGGUCAAGAUGAAAAUAAAAUUAACUUGCUUUGCUGAAGAGGACCACAGAAAAAUUCACCUCUCUUGAUGCUUAUGUGGGAUGAAGAAUAUAAAAAAGAUAUUCUUUGAUAAUUCAUGACUAUGAAGUGGUCUUCAUAUAAGAUUUUGACCCAAAUUCAUGAUACCAUGGGAUUAUUGAAUAAACUUCAUGAGUCUCA